RNAcentral lists this ribosomal RNA (1127 nucleotides) under uncultured Sebacina. Its description in RNAcentral is "eukaryotic LSU rRNA". The stretch from base 563 to 1127 matches the Rfam family "Eukaryotic large subunit ribosomal RNA", at positions 1 to 568 of the family's 3401-position model. Lineage: Eukaryota; Fungi; Basidiomycota; Agaricomycetes; Sebacinales; Sebacinaceae. The record is from RNAcentral.
CUGCGGAAGGAUCAUUAAUGAAACUUCAAAGUCGGCCAAAGGUUGUUGCUGGUGAUUAUUCACAUGUGCACGCCUUUGGUCGCAAAUCCACACACACCUGUGCAUCUAUGACUCGAGGUUGUAAUGACUGAGAGUAACUUUUAUACACUCUUGUAUGUAAUGGAAUGUCUUUUUGUGCUAUAAUGUACAAUAUAAACAACUUUCAACAACGGAUCUCUUGGCUCUCGCAUCGAUGAAGAACGCAGCGAAAUGCGAUAAGUAAUGUGAAUUGCAGAAUUCAGUGAAUCAUCGAAUCUUUGAACGCACCUUGCACCCUUUGGUAUUCCGAAGGGUACGCCCGUUUGAGUGUCAUUGUAAUCUCACUUCUACAACUUUAUUGUUGUUUGAAUGUGGACUUGGAUGUUGCCGUUUUAUCACGGCUCGUCUUAAAUGCCUGAGUGUACCCUGUUUUGCAGCGUAUCCAGUGUAAUAAACAUUUCACUAGAGUUGGUCGAAAGACCGCGUUGACUAUAUGGGCUCUAUGCUUCAAACCGUCUGCCAUGUGGACAAUUUCUUGACAAUUUGACCUCAAAUCGGGUGGGACUACCCGCUGAACUUAAGCAUAUCAAUAAGCGGAGGAAAAGAAACUAACAAGGAUUCCCCUAGUAACGGCGAGYGAAGAGGGAAAAGCUCAAAUUUUAAAUCUGGUGUCUUUGACUCCCGAGUUGUAAUCUAGAGAAGUGUUUUCCGUGUCGGACCGUGUACAAGUUCCCUGGAACGGGGCGUCAUAGAGGGUGAGAAUCCCGUAUAUGCCACGGACUACCGAUGCUCUGUGAUACACUCUCAACGAGUCGAGUUGUUUGGGAAUGCAGCUCAAAAUGGGUGGUAAAUUCCAUCUAAAGCUAAAUAUUGGCGAGAGACCGAUAGCGAACAAGUACCGUGAGGGAAAGAUGAAAAGCACUUUGGAAAGAGAGUGAAACAGUACGUGAAAUUGUUGAAAGGGAAGCGUUUGAAGUCAGUCGCAUCUGUUGGGGUUCAGCCUGGCUUUUGCCUGGUGUAUUUCCUUUCCGAUGGGUCAGCAUCAGUUUCGACCGAGGGAAAAAGACAUUUGGAAUGUGGCUGUCUUCGGGCAGUGUUAUAGCCUUGUG